GAUGAACGCUGGCGGCGUGCCUAAUACAUGCAAGUCGAGCGAACAGACGAGGAGCUUGCUCCUCUGACGUUAGCGGCGGACGGGUGAGUAACACGUGGAUAACCUACCUAUAAGACUGGGAUAACUUCGGGAAACCGGAGCUAAUACUGGAUAAUAUAUUGAACCGCAUGGUUCAAUAGUGAAAGACGGUUUUGCUGUCACUUAUAGAUGGAUCCGCGCCGCAUUAGCUAGUUGGUAAGGUAACGGCUUACCAAGGCAACGAUGCGUAGCCGACCUGAGAGGGUGAUCGGCCACACUGGAACUGAGACACGGUCCAGACUCCUACGGGAGGCAGCAGUAGGGAAUCUUCCGCAAUGGGCGAAAGCCUGACGGAGCAACGCCGCGUGAGUGAUGAAGGUCUUCGGAUCGUAAAACUCUGUUAUUAGGUAAGAACAAAUGUGUAAGUAACUAUGCACGUCUUGACGGUACCUAAUCAGAAAGCCACGGCUAACUACGUG
RNAcentral lists this ribosomal RNA (497 nucleotides) under uncultured bacterium. RNAcentral describes it as "partial 16S ribosomal RNA". It matches the Rfam family "Bacterial small subunit ribosomal RNA", at positions 28 to 507 of the family's 1533-position model. The record is from RNAcentral.